Molecule: long non-coding RNA, 740 nt
Filed under: Prunus persica (peach)
Lineage: Eukaryota; Viridiplantae; Streptophyta; Magnoliopsida; Rosales; Rosaceae
Description: long non-coding RNA (PPER_LNC003733)
Source: RNAcentral
UUCCUUUUCUUACACUAAAAAUGGAAUAUUUACAAAUGGCCAAAGAACAAAAACAAAACAAAAAAGCAAAAACUAGAAGGAAGCAUUACACACAAGUCAUGGUUCCAGAUACAUGAUUGGAAAAGCAGUAGAUACAUGAUUGGAAAAGCGGUAGGAGCAAGCAACACAAUGACGAACAUCAACUUCCACACUACAAAAGUUGUUUCUAUUUGUUGCUAAUGCUAAUUUGAUAUCACCAACAUGAAUCAUUUCUUCAACCCUUCGACUGAGAAGCAAUUCCUGUUUGAUUGUGUGAGGUUUCCCAAUUUUUCCCAUCAUAAUACUUAACCUCAAUAUGGGUUAGUGUUCCAGGAUCAACACACGUAAAUGUGAUGGAAACGCCAUCAGGGUUGGAGCGUGGAUAAUAAAAUGAAGUUAUCCCACAAACCUUACAAAACUUAUGCUUCGCCGUAUGAGUACCGAAGCUGUAAGUAGUAAGAAACUGUUCAGAAUCACCCAAAAGCUCAAAUCUGUCAGCAGGGACAAUAAAAUGAGUGUUGCCCCUCAUAGAGCAAUUCGAGCAGUUGCAACUCCAAGCCACAACUCCGGUAGGCGCUUGCACUCGCCAUCUUACUUUCUUGCAAUGGCACCCACCUUCAUGCGCUACCAUCUCAGAGUCCAUGCCUCAAGAUUCUAAUUCUUCAACAGGGCCAAUGACUAGGAUUACCUCUUCUAAUUUAUAAAUGCACCCGCUCUGACCU